GAUGAAGAACGUAGAGAAAUGCGAUACUUGGUGUGAAUUGCAGAAUCCCGUGAACCAUCGAGUCUUUGAACGCAAGUUGCGCCCGAAGCCACUAGGCCGAGGGCACGCCUGCCUGGGCGUCACACGCCGUUGCCCCCCCAUCUACUCCUUCGGGAUUGCGGGGGGGCGGAUGAUGGCCUCCUGUGCGCCUAGCCGCGCGGUUGGCAUAAAUACCAAGUCCUCGGCGACGCACGCCACGACAAUCGGUGGUUGCGAAACCUCGGUUGCCCGUCGUGUGCGUUCGUCGCGCAUCGAGGGCUCGAAAAAAUGCUCGGCUCCGGCUGGGCUUUCAACGCGACCCCAGGUCAGGCGGGGUUACCCGCUGAAUUUAAGCAUAUCAAUAAGCGGAGGA
This 391-nucleotide unclassified non-coding RNA is filed under the name soil metagenome. RNAcentral describes it as "partial contains 5.8S ribosomal RNA, internal transcribed spacer 2, and large subunit ribosomal RNA". The stretch from base 1 to 122 matches the Rfam family "5.8S ribosomal RNA", at positions 35 to 154 of the family's 154-position model. The record is from RNAcentral.